Molecule: ribosomal RNA, 253 nt
Filed under: uncultured bacterium
Lineage: Bacteria
Also listed under: 1 other name
Description: partial 16S ribosomal RNA
Rfam family: Bacterial small subunit ribosomal RNA
Source: RNAcentral
UACGAAAGGUGCAAGCGUUACUCGGAAUCACUGGGCGUAAAGCGCACGUAGGCGGACUUACAGGUCAAUUGUGAAAUACCUGAGCUCAACUCAGGAACUGCAGUUGAAACCGUUUGUCUUGAAUACCUGAGAGGGUGGGGGAAUACCUGGUGGAGAAGUGAAAUUCGUAGAGAUCAGGUGGAACACCGGAGGCGAAGGCGCCUGCCUGGCAGUGUAUUGACGCUGAGGUGCGAAAGUGCGGGGAGCAAACAGG